CACACAUAUUUAUUUUUAAUAAUGAAACUGUCACAUUUGGCAACAUGACACAGCUAAAGUUAACACAUUGGCAUAACAAAUACUGCCACAGAGUUUCUUCACAAGACUUAGAGCUCUACCAGCCAGCGACAAACAGACACAAGAUGGCAUCUUUAAAAUAGCAGAUGAGGAAGAUUCAACCAAAGUGGAAUUCUUAAAUGUCCCGUGGAUCCCUCUAGACUCCUACAUGCUGGCUAAACCUCUCUGCACUGUGAAAGCUGGAGAGAUCUUGUACCUGCCCUCCUCGUGGUCCCACCACUGCUCUUUUUCUUUUCUUUUUUUUUUUUGUCUUGGCAGUGAAUUUCUGGUAUGACAUGGAAUAUGAUAUGAAGUACAAUUACUUCCUUGACAAAUGCUGUUGAGAUGUGCAUGCACAUUUUUAGUGAUCUAGAAUAAAUAUUGCAAUAAACAAUACAGUUUAACAUGUAAUAAAUACAGUUUUAUUUGUUUGACUUCUCUGAGAAAGAGAUUUUAGGUGACGGAUUGUAUAAAGAGAAUAUAGAAACACUUGACUUCAGUUUGGAGCAAAAGGUAAGACAAAGUCACAAGUUUCUGAAAGAAAGUACUGGUCCAUAUGUAAUGCCAAAAAACAUCUUGAUCCAUUGACCAUAGUUUACAUGAAAGCAGAGCUGGUCACCACUGAGAGAUGAUGCUAAAAGCAGUAAGUCUGCGUGAUUGUUCACGAGGAGCAGGUCAAGCAUACAACCAUGCAUUCUAGUUCAGGAAGCGAGCCCAGCUUAAAUUCUGCCUUUCUUCAUGCAUGUGCAGUGUAUUCAUGCUGAUUCUCACACAGUACUUUUGUUACUGAUGCAGUCUUAC
Molecule: long non-coding RNA, 858 nt
Organism: Carassius auratus (goldfish)
Lineage: Eukaryota; Metazoa; Chordata; Actinopteri; Cypriniformes; Cyprinidae
Exons: 3
Source: RefSeq, a predicted model, not a curated record